CCGCGAUCCUAUUUUGUUGGUUUCUAGGGUCGAGGUAAUGAUUAAUAGGGACAGUUGGGGGCAUUAGUAUUUAAUUGUCAGAGGUGAAAUUCUUGGAUUUAUGAAAGACUAACUUCUGCGAAAGCAUUUGCCAAGGAUGUUUUCAUUAAUCAAGAACGAAAGUUAGGGGUUCGAAGACGAUUAGAUACCGUCGUAGUCUUAACCAUAAACGAUGCCGACUAGGGAUCGGGCGGUGUUAUUUUCAUGACCCGCUCGGCACCUUAUGAGAAAUCAAAGUAUUUGGGCUCUGGGGGGUGUAUGGUCGCAAGGCUGAAACUUAAAGGAAUUGACGGAGGGGCACCACCAGGAGUGGAGCCUGCGGCUUAAUUUGACUCAACACGGGGAAACUUUCCAGGUCAGGACAUAGUAAGGAUUGACAGAUUGAGAGCUCUUUCUUGAUUCUAUGGGUGGUGGUGCAUGGCCGUUCUUAGUUGGUGGAGUGAUUUGUCUGCUUAAUUGCGUUAACGAACGAGACCUUCACCUGCUAAAUAGCUACGCGGGCGCUUCGGCGCUCAGCGGGCAGCUUCUUAGAGGGACAAUGUGAGCCAAUCACAUGGAAGCUGGAGGCAAUAACAGGUCCGUGAUGCCCUUAGAUGUCCUGGGCCGCACGCGCGCUACACUGACGCAGUCAACGAGUUCUUUUCACCUUGACCGGCAGGUCUGGGUAAUCUUCUGAAACUGCGUCGUGC
Molecule: ribosomal RNA, 728 nt
Filed under: uncultured fungus
Lineage: Eukaryota; Fungi
Description: bacterial SSU rRNA
Rfam family: Eukaryotic small subunit ribosomal RNA
Source: RNAcentral